Molecule: non-coding RNA, 105 nt
Organism: Arachis ipaensis
Lineage: Eukaryota; Viridiplantae; Streptophyta; Magnoliopsida; Fabales; Fabaceae
Source: RefSeq, a predicted model, not a curated record
AGGAAUCAAUGAGAGAAGUAGAUAACUAAAAUGUUUGAACAAAUAAGAGUAGAAGAAACCUAAAUUAAAGCAAGGUAGAAUUCUGAGAUUGAGAAGAAACAAGAC